CCCCUAGUAACUGCGAGUGAAGCGGGAAAAGCUCAAAUUUAAAAUCUGGCAGUCUUUGAUUGUCCGAGUUGUAAUCUAGAGAAGUGUUAUCCGCGUUGGACCGUGUACAAGUCUCCUGGAAUGGGGCAUCAUAGAGGGUGAGAAUCCCGUCUUUGACACGGACUACCAGUGCUUUGUGAUGCGCUCUCAAAGAGUCGAGUUGUUUGGGAAUGCAGCUCAAAAUGGGUGGUAAAUUCCAUCUAAAGCUAAAUAUUGGCGAGAGACCGAUAGCGAACAAGUACCGUGAGGGAAAGAUGAAAAGAACUUUGGAAAGAGAGUUAAACAGUACGUGAAAUUGCUGAAAGGGAAACGCUUGAAGUCAGUCGCGUUGGCUGGAAAUCAACCUUGCUUUUGCUGGGCGUACUUUCUAGUCAAUGGGUCAGCAUCAAUUUUGACCAUUGGAAAAAGUGUAGAGGAAUGUGGCAUCUUCGGAUGUGUUAUAGCCUUUGCUCGCAUACAAUGGUUGGGAUUGAGGAAUUCAGCAGGGAAAAAA
Molecule: ribosomal RNA, 532 nt
Filed under: Conocybe sp. MSC 380545
Lineage: Eukaryota; Fungi; Basidiomycota; Agaricomycetes; Agaricales; Bolbitiaceae
Also listed under: 1 other name
Description: eukaryotic LSU rRNA
Rfam family: Eukaryotic large subunit ribosomal RNA
Source: RNAcentral